GUCGUCAGCUCGUGCCGUGAGGUGUCGGGUUAAGUCCCAUAACGAGCGCAACCCUAUCAUUAGUUGCCAUCAGGUCAAGCUGGGGACUCUAAUGAAACUGCCUACGCAAGUAGUGAGGAAGGUGGGGAUGACGUCAAGUCAUCAUGGCCCUUACGGCCUGGGCUACACACGUGCUACAAUGGUCGGUACAAAGGGUUGCCAAGCCGCGAGGUGGAGCUAAUCCCAUAAAACCGAUCGUAGUCCGGAUCGCAGUCUGCAACUCGACUGCGUGAAGUCGGAAUCGCUAGUAAUCGUGAAUCAGAAUGUCACGGUGAAUACGUUCCCGGGCCUU
RNAcentral lists this ribosomal RNA (331 nucleotides) under uncultured Pseudomonas sp. Its description in RNAcentral is "bacterial SSU rRNA". It matches the Rfam family "Bacterial small subunit ribosomal RNA", at positions 1051 to 1382 of the family's 1533-position model. Lineage: Bacteria; Pseudomonadati; Pseudomonadota; Gammaproteobacteria; Pseudomonadales; Pseudomonadaceae. The record is from RNAcentral.